RNAcentral lists this transfer RNA (77 nucleotides) under Nitrospiraceae bacterium. Its description in RNAcentral is "tRNA-Asp". It matches the Rfam family "tRNA". Rfam says of the family: Transfer RNA (tRNA) molecules are approximately 80 nucleotides in length. Their secondary structure includes four short double-helical elements and three loops (D, anti-codon, and T loops). RNAcentral also lists the same sequence under 1 other name. The record is from RNAcentral. Lineage: Bacteria; Pseudomonadati; Nitrospirota; Nitrospiria; Nitrospirales; Nitrospiraceae.
GGGGUGGUAGUUCAGCUGGUCAGAACGCCGGCCUGUCACGUCGGAGGUCGCGGGUUCGAGCCCCGUCCACCCCGCCA